UUUCCGUAGGUGAACCUGCGGAAGGAUCAUUACUGAGUGAGGGCCCCUCGGGGUCCAACCUCCCACCCGUGUUUAACGAACCUUGUUGCUUCGGCGGGCCCGCCUCACGGCCGCCGGGGGGGCAUCUGCCCCCGGGCCCGCGCCCGCCGAAGCCACCUGUGAACGCUGUCUGAAGUAUGCAGUCUGAGACAAUUAUUAAAUUAAUUAAAACUUUCAACAACGGAUCUCUUGGUUCCG
This 237-nucleotide unclassified non-coding RNA is filed under the name plant metagenome. RNAcentral describes it as "partial contains small subunit ribosomal RNA, internal transcribed spacer 1, and 5.8S ribosomal RNA". The record is from RNAcentral.